GUCAUAGAGUCUGACAGCAUGGAAGCAGACCCAUUGGUCCAGCCAGUCCAUGCUGACCAUGUUCGAAAACUAAUGUAGUCCCAUCUGCCUGCACAUUGUCUAUAUCUCUCUGAACAUUUCUCAUUUACAUAUUAUCCAAACGUCUUUUAAAUGUUGUAAACUGUACCUGUAUCCACCACUUCCUCUGGACGUUCAUUCCACGCAAGAACCACACUCUGCAAAAAAAAAAGGUUGCCCCUCAUGCCUUUUCUCAAUCUUUCACCUGUCACCUUAAAAAAAUAUGCCCCUAGUCUUGAAAUCCCCCACCCGAGGGAAAAGACAUCUGCUAUUCACCUUCUCUAUACUCCUCAAGGGCAGGACUUAAACAAUGGUAGGGCCCUGGGUAGUGUUGUACCUCGGUACCUUUGUACCUGAGAUGGUGCCACAAGUGGCAACUUGUAAACUUUUCACUGUACUCAUGUGACUACAUGUGACAAUAAAUGUUAUUCCAUUUGAUUAAAAAUAUGCUUCCCGGUCUUGAAAUCCCCACACCAGAGAAAGGACACCUGAAUUUCACAAACCUCUAUAAGGUCAACCUCAACAUGCUACAUUCCUGUGAAAGGAGUCCCAGCCCCUCCUUAUGACUCAAUCCCUCCAUUCUCAUGAACAUCCCGGUAAACCACCUUUGAACUCUCUCCAGCUUAAUAAUAUCAUUGCUACAACAGGACAACCAGAAUUGGACACAGUCCUGCAGAAGAGGCCUUGCCAAUGGCCUGUAUGAUCUCAACAUGACGUCCCAACUUCUCUACACAACAGACUGAGCAAUGAAGGGAAUUGGAAAGGAUUUACAGACAGGCAGCUCAAGUCAAAAAUUGGAUCAACAGCUGCCAGUAACACUCAAUUCUCGAGAGCUUUGAACGUGGAAGAAAAAAGCAUCGUUCACGGUGAAGAGAAACCGUACACGUGGUCUGUGUGGACAAGCCUUCAGUCAAUCGUCUGGCCUGUCGAUACCUAAAUGCAGUCAAAACAGGAUGACAACAAUGACAUCAAGCAGCACUUGCUUUGCAAUCUCACAGUGAUGGAUCUCAGUUUGAGUUAAGCAAGGGCCACUCAUCUCCUGAUCUCUUGACAUUUUUGGUGCGAACGUGGACCAAACAGCUGAAUUCCAAAUCAGAGUGUGACUUUCCUGCCAUCUUAAGGCUCUAUUUGACAGAGCAUUGUAUCAAGGAAUCAUAGCAAAACUGGAGUCAACGGGAUUCAGAGAAUAUGAUUCUCGCUUUGAUUGUGGGUUUUUGAAAAGAUUGCAUCUUCAGACCUGAGUAGAUCAAAACAAGGUGAAUUUAUUCAAGCUUGUACCACAUAUAUGCGGAAGAGGUCUCCUCGUCUCGCUUGGAGAUACUCUACCAUUUGCAGCUCAAAACAGCAUAUUGAGACAUUUUCACGUCAGGAUGGUUGUAUAUAACAUUGGCAUAAAAUAAAUUAGAUAAGUCAUUGACUACAAAAA
Molecule: long non-coding RNA, 1483 nt
Organism: Rhincodon typus (whale shark)
Lineage: Eukaryota; Metazoa; Chordata; Chondrichthyes; Orectolobiformes; Rhincodontidae
Exons: 2
Source: RefSeq, a predicted model, not a curated record